RNAcentral lists this long non-coding RNA (19175 nucleotides) under Brachypodium distachyon (stiff brome). Its description in RNAcentral is "long non-coding RNA (BDIS_LNC005761)". The record is from RNAcentral. Lineage: Eukaryota; Viridiplantae; Streptophyta; Magnoliopsida; Poales; Poaceae.
CCGCCCCACCACCACCACCACGCCAAGCCUCCGGCUGGCUCCCACAAGCCGGCGCCUCCCACGGCCACUCCUCCCACGCCGGCGUACAAGCCACCCACGGCCACGCCUCCGGCUCCGACGCCACCGAAGUACACUCCGUCCCCGAAGCCACCGACGCCUAAGCCCACACCACCCACGUAUACCCCGACCCCGAAGCCGCCCACUCCCACACCAAAGCCCACGCCGCCAACGUACAAGCCGGCACCCAAGCCCACUCCUCCCACGUAUAAGCCCACACCCAAGCCCUCGCCGCCGACGUACCCGCCGAAGCCAACACCACCCACCUACAAGCCGGCGCCGAAGCCGACUCCCCCGACCUACAAGCCGGCGCCGAAGCCGACACCGCCCACCUACAAGCCCGCGCCGAAGCCGACGCCCCCGACCUACAAGCCGGACCCCAAGCCGACUCCCCCGACGUACAAGCCCGCGCCGAAGCCGGCCCCCAAGCCUACGCCCCCGAACUACAAGCCGGCGCCGAAGCCGACGCCGCCGUCGUACAAGCCGGCCCCGAAGCCCACUCCCCCGGCACCGAAGCCCACGCCGCCGACACCACCAGCCUACAAGCCGGCGCCGAAGCCGAGCCCUCCGACGCCCGCCCCGCCGGCGUACAAGCCUCCGACUCCGACUCCUCCGGCGUACAAGACCCCCACUCCGAGCCCGCCGCCGCCGCCCUACCACCACUAAGAUCCAUCACUCUCUUUAGUUGGGAGCACAGGUGAGCAAUGCGGCAAUCUCAGUCUAUGCAUGCAUGAUGCAUGCAUGAAACGCAGACUGUAUCUACAUUUCCCUUUCAAAGUGCAAAGGACGAAACUUAAGACGUGAUUACUUGUGUUUUGCAGAAUGUGAUCGAAAAGACGUGAGCCGACUGUCUGAAGAUGACGAGCCUUUGAUUCUCCUCCCGUGCGUCGCCGCCAACCUAGGGCCAAGAUCGAAUAAUGCAGACUGCUCCCUUCAGUUUAUCUUACAGCUUAUAAUUUGUAUUCGCCCAGUCUUAGCGUGGAAGUGCUGGCAUUGUUAGCGUCGUCCCUGUGUUACUGUAAAACCAUUUAGUAACUUUGGAAAUGGAAGUAAAAUCUGUUCACCCUUGUUGUCUGUACCGUGAUGGCUGCGUUUUUACCCAAGACAGACGAGAUGUGAUGCUUGCAUGGCAGUAUAAAUAUUUUUUAGAAUAUGUACUUUGCUGGCACAGGAUACAGUGAGCUGUCGCGCUUGCACAGUCUACACGACACACCGGUUCUUUUUUUUUAUUGCUGACGGCAGACCAGUUCUGCAGGAUGCUCUAUUAGCGCGUCUAGGUGCAUUCGCGCACGCAUUGGGCACAGUGGCGCGCGGCCGAACCGUCCUGAUCAAAUAGAGAAUUAAAUUGAUUUUGGUCGUUAAAUUGAUUUUUGUGAAACAAAAUCCAAAAUACGGUUUUCAGUUCGGAGGUUCGGUUAAAUUGUCAACUCAAUGGAAAAAGGCUGAGGGCACGACAGAUGAAGCGGCAGAUACAAUGAAUUCGCAGCGGCCCGCUUGCAGAGCAGUAACUAUUAAAGGUCUGUGUCUGUGAAACCUGGGCCGAUCGUCGUUUCAGCAAAGUGCAUGGUGCCAACUAGUCUUUAUUGUGUGCAGAAACACGCGCGAAUACUCAUUACAUUCGGAGCGCUCUUGCCGAGGUAAAACUCUUACUCUUACUUUGUUGUAUUAGCCAAGAAGGGGAAAAUCCUAGAUGUCUCAGUGAUCGUUUCCUCUCUUGGAAGGGGUAGUGCUUUAUUUAUGAGCCGCUCAUGUCACACUGACAUGCGGGCCGGAGCCUAACGUUAUCUUUUUUGGGCCCUGCCGGGCACGCGCCUUGGUCUCCUCUGGGUGGCGCCACAGGGGACAAGACAAGUACAUUAGUCAUCUGCCGGCUUCCGUCAGAGAUUCUCUUUCGGUGCUUCUUUGCGCAGUUGCCAGACACCGCAACGUAAACGGCGACUGCUUUUCCAUGAUGAAGAUAACACUGCUUUACUUUGCGCCACGCGAUGAGGAUAAGACCGUUGAGACAUCUCAGCGCUGGCCGAGAUCAGAGUAUUCGUCCUUGUCCUGCAAUCUUAUAAGACAAGAUAGUCAUGCCGGCAUACACUCAGUAUGCCGGCUUAGUAUUAGUUUGACUUAACGAUGCCGGCAUACAUGACUAUGCCGACUUUGCCUUCGUCAUCUCGGCUAAAGCGUGUCGUCAUGACCCUACUCGGGAUCAUCCCCCCGACACUAGUCCCCGAAGCUGUUGCGGUCCGGUAAGGAAGAAUGUCGCACCUCGACAGUUUCCCAUAGACCUACCACCGAAGCCUACCAGGGUUUAGCCGAAGAGGAUACCGAAACAACCCCGAGUUCUCUUAGCCGAGACCAAGUUAUUUUGACAUAUCGAGUCGGCGUGCUUAUUCUGCCCUGAGUCGAGAUUCUUUUCUCCUCCGUAACCGGUAGUAGCAAAUUUGCUUCUGCCGAUACUGGUGCCACCUGUCGAUCGUACACUGGGCUCUGCUUAAAUAACGGGAAGAUAAGACCGAAGUACUGCCGGCGCGCUUUUUGAGGCAAGCUCAUCAUCCCAUCGGACAGUAAAGCCGACAAAGCCAUUAAGAGGGGAAUUUCAGUUCCCACGCGGAUACUUAUUCUCCCGGAUUCGACGGGAUUCUUUGCGCCACACCGCGUGGUAACCGAGCGCGUGCGCGUUAAUGGGGUUGAAUGCCCCCAUGAUCGUGCGCAGCCCUUCAGUUGGCCACAGGGAUCGUGGGCGUGGAAGAUCCACACCCCAUUAGUGCGUCUUGAGUAUAAAUAGAGGGAGGGGGCGAGGGUAAAAAACCCUUCGCACUCCCCCAACCUUCUUGCUCUCCUUUGCUCCUUGCGCACUCCGCCAUUACCGCGAGCUCCAAGCUCUUCCGCCGUCGCACUUCCUGACUUCGAGCAACGAAGCUUGCCGCCGCAUCCUCGUGCGCACGCUCAGUCAGCUUUUCGCCGCCGCUUUUCUUACUUGCUCGAGCCUUGCGCUAGCACCUUCUCACCGGAGAUGCAAACCCUAGAUCUAGUUUUCUAAUCCAUGGCUUCUUCAUCCCGCGAAGCCGCCGCCGUCGACCCCGCUAUCCAGGACCCUGAGGAGGAGCUAGGCUCAGAGCGAGCUGCUUGGGAGGGCUCCGACGUCUCCCCGGCGGACAUUGAGUGGCUCCGCCGCUCCCGGUGGGUUCCAGAGGACGUGGAGUGCCGGAUCCCCGACGACGCGAUAGUGCCAGCACCCGAAUGUGGUGAGCGCGUUGUUUUUGUCGCUCACUUUGAACUCGGUUUUGCUCUCCCGGCCAACGACUUCACUAGGAAAUUUCUAGACUUCUUUGGCCUCCAGCCGCACCACCUUCCGGCAAACGCCAUCCUCACUCUCUCGGCGUUUGUUACUUGCUAUGAGGCCUAUCUCAGACUCUGGCCUUCCACCGACUUGUGUGCCAAAUACUUCAAGUUUCGGCCCCAAGUUCUUCCCGACAAGGAAAAUCCCGGCGCCACCAUCGUCAUACCUCGUCGGGGUUCGGCCUUCCCUAGGAUCCAGGGUCUCGAGUCCUGUAAAAAGUGGCUCAAGACCUUUUUCUAUGUCAAGAACUCCUGCGACACCGACAAGAUCAACUUGCCGAGAUUUGUAGUCGGCCCUCCGGAGGAGAAGAACUGGAAGUACGACCCGAAGGACAACCUUCCUGAGAUCAACGAGAGCCACGCAGGCAUCCUUGAACUCAAGGCAGAAGGGAUGAUGGCCGAUGAUUUGCUGGCCACCUUCGUAUACCGGCGGCUGUCGGACGCACAAGAUGUGCUUCUACGGUGGUCAGUUUCACCCGAACCGGCUGUCCACCGUCCGGCUUGACCAGGCGGAAGUCCGGCGCCAGGUCAAGGCGAUCGCGAAGACGAGCAUGCCGGAACACUGGGAAUGGGGUAUGCCGGCAUACAGUCGGAAGCACCGUCCGCCCCCGGUGAGUUUUUGUUUAUUCACGUCUUCUGUUCUCAUCCGGCAUAAAGCUAUGCCGGCUUUUAUUUGAUAAAGACUCAUCUCGGCGCCAUUUGAUUCUUUUGUGCAGAAGUUACCCUUCAGCGCAACGAAGACGGGAAAUCCCCAGAUAAACGUUUUGGGAGCCAGCGCACGACCAUCGACCACGAAGAUCCGGACUCAGAGGAUCACAUGCCGAUCACCCAUGCCGGCCCCCGUCACACCGAAGGUAACAAUUCCCGACAUUUUCUCUUAGUCAUUAUAAUACUUAGUAUCAGGUUGCUCACACCCGCAUUUCUCCGGGGACAGCCGACUCGGCCGAUCCCGCUGCUGCUGCUGAGGCGUUGGAUCCAGUUGCGGCUACAGUGUUGGUCCGUGAAAAGCGCGGAGCUGAGAAAGAUCUUCCGCGAACUAUAAAGCGGAAGAAAGUUGCCUCUCGUGGUCCUAAGCCGAAGCCCAUGACCGUUGGGUAAGACUUAUGACAACUUAAAUCUUGAUGUCGGUUUUCUUCUUAGCUAUUAUGCUAAUAAUCCACUCUCAUUCCUGCAGGGCGGCUUUGAUAGCUACCCAAUCUCAAACGUGCAUCGCGUCUGAGAUCCCGGCGGCUCCAUCUCCCCGUGCCGAGCAUGCAACUCAGGCCACGGGUGAGACCGAGACUGCUGCGGAUCCGACAUCUCCCGUCCGGGAUGUCGGCCCAACAAUCGACGCUUCGAGCGUCGCCCAAGCCGGGACGUCCGCAGCCGGGACUUCAGCUGUCGGGGCUGCUCCUUCCUCGGCGGCAACCGAGACACAAAUGGAGCCGCUCGUCACAGUGACACCGCAACAACUGGCAAUGGGGCCCCAAGAACCCCAAGGACCACAAACGACUCCGACACCGCCGUCAUCACCGCCACAGACGCAGGGUACUCAACUUGCGGCUGCACAAGCUAAGAGAGCUAGGAGCUCCGCUAUCCUGGCGGGACAAGCGCCUUCGAGUUCCUCCAGCUCACAGCCUGCCCGGGGCAACCAGGGAGUUCCCCUCAGGACGGCCCGCGGGCAUAGCUGGGGGUCACCGGGCCAGUUCGUAAUGUACUGGAACAGUGUUGACGGUUACGAAGUGACCUCCAGCACCCUCCAGACAGCGCGGCAGAGCCCUCUAGUGGGACCCGCACCUGCGGCGACUCAGGAGUCUGUGGCGGCCCGGAUGUUCCAGGCAAGGGUGGGCUUAUUCGAGUCUAGCCGAGCUACAGAGGUACGAAAAACUCCUUUUUGAAGUUUUUUAUUCUACUUCUAGUAUCCGUACUCCUAGUCCCCGAGGUUUAAGGCGAGUAAGAAUUAGUCGGCCUGAAGCUUAUCUUAGAAAACUUCAAACACUUAUUCCCCGAGAUUCAGGCCGGGCUUAGAAUAGUCGGCCUUAAGCUUAAAAACUUCAAAAACUUAUUCCCCGAGAUUCAGACCGGGUUUAGAAUAGUGGGCCUGAAGUUUAAAAACUUCAAACCCUUAUUCCUCGAGAUUCAGGCCGGGUUUAGAAUAGUCAGCCUGAAGCUUAAAAACUUCAAACACUUAUUCCUCGAGAUUCAGGCCGGGUUUUAGAAUAGUCGGGCUGAAGUUUAAAAACUUCAAACACUUAUUCCCCGAGUAGUUGUGAACCUUCCACUGUAAUAGACUUAUAUGUGGAUCACUAUUUUGCAGACCUGCACGAAUAAGCGCACCGCCACCUUCAAGACCUUGCUAGCAAAGUACAAGAAGCUGGAGGUGGAGCACAAGGCUUUGGUACCCGAUCGCCAGAGCCAGAGUAAGUAUAUUUUUACCAUCAUAAAUACUUUGUCCGAGUAUUGAUGCACAGCAGAAACUGAUACGUGCUCUUGUUUACAGCCGGGGACAAUGCUCAAAUAUCUGAGCUUCUGAAGCGUGUCGCCGAAGUACAAGGUACAAGCUUAUCCUCAUCCCGUGUCUCAUCCCUUUUAAACUAAAACCUUUGUGACACACAUCUGUUAAACAGAUGAGAAGUCUCGGCUCAAAGAGCAGCACCGGGAUGAAGUGGCCCGUCUGAAGGCGCAGCUCGAAACUCAGGCGGAGGCGCACAAGACCGAGGUAGGUCUACUGACCUCGGCCCUCUCUGCCCCAGCUGAUGAGAAGAUCCGCCUAGAAGGCGAGGUGCAGAAAUGCAAGGAUCUCGUCGCCGAGGUUGAGACCCACGCCAGUACCGUCGAGAAGGAAAAGGCCGAGAAUGCCCGCCUGCUCAGCGUGUGCCGGCGUGACCUCAUUAAGAUCGACGCCAUGUUGACUAGUAAGUGGCCUUUGUCCAAAUCUCUUCCUCUGAUCACCUGUCCGUUGAUAGCAAUAGGGUGCCGAGACUCAUUACUAUCUUUUUGCCUUUAUCAGAAUUUUUUCCACAAUCUGUCGAGACCGCCCAAGCUGUCUUGAUUAAAGCCCGUAAAAGGAGAGAUCCAGUCGGGGCAGAACCCUUCGAAUACAGCUUGGAGGAUUUCUUGGUUAGCGUUGCGAGCCGGAUAAAGCCUCUGAAGUCCUUCGGGGUGAACAUGCUCAGAGCCGGCAUCCGGGCCUUUCGAGCUUUGUGGCCGGGAGAAGAAGCUCUGACCGGCAUCCCGGAGUUGGCAACGCGCCUUCCGGAGGUGGAGGAUCGUCUUAAUGAGUGGCGGGAGUCGGCCGCUCAUGUCGGCGCCGUUGAGGCCUUGUCGUUUGUACUUUCUUGGUACGACGGCAUCAACCUCGACGUGCUGCAGUCGAUUCGUGUCGGCUCCCCCUAUCUCUCGGACCCUGAGCUGAUCGCAAAGCGUCAGGAGCGGGCCUACUCCUUCAUCCAAUAUGCCGAUGUGCAUAAAUUUGUGGAGGGCCCGGUAUCCGAAGCAGAGGCAGAGAUGGCCGAGGAAGAACACGAGGAGGCAGUCGACGAAGAGAUUGUCGUCGAGUUAGCUUCCACUGCAACGGAUGCCUUGAGUUUCGGCGCUGCCAAUCCUUCUGUCUCUUCUUAGGCAUGUCAGACAAAAUACUUUAAAACUAUCAGAUCCCCGGGAUGCCGGGUGCAGAUGUAACCGAAUUAUAACACUUUUGUUUUUGAAGCAUCAUACUUUUAAUUUAUUCAAGUCUUUUAAUUACUGAGUUCCCAACCGAGUCCCCGAGUCUAUUUUUCCUGUUGGUGAAAUUUUAUGACUUCGGUUCUUUUGUCUGCCUUGUCGGCGUUCGACGUAUGAAUCGCGAAGUCAUAGAACAACCCUUUCCAAAAAAUUAAACUCGACAAACUCGCUUGGAAAUACCCGAAACUGGAACGAAAUGCCGGGUUAAGUAAAACAACGUGCAUCUCGGCUCGGUUCCUUGUUUGUUUCCACAAUUGCUUUUCAUGUGUUCAAUUAUCUAGUACCCGUCUCUAGCUUGCCAUGAAGCCGGGUUGCGGACUGCAGCGAUGUCAUAGAGGGGAUUUUCAAUACCAACACACUACUAAACCGACAUAAGGUUACACAAUUAAGCCAUACCGACAUAGAAGAGAUAAUUUCAAUAUAACACCUAAACAGCAUGGAAGUCCCCGAGUUCCUUUUGAGAACCCGGUGGAUAAUUUCAUUGUCUAAAAACAUUGAACAUAAGGAGAAAACGAUACAAAUACUCAUCUUUCAAGUAUAGAACGGACGUAGUAAAACUACAUUUCAUGGCCUCUUGGUCUACUCGCCUGACCGGUCCAUCCUGUUUGCUUUGGGAUCCUGCGCAUCUAUAAGAUAGUAGGAAUCAUUAUGCAGCGCUUUGCUCACAAUGAAGGGUCCUUCCCAGGGAGCGACAGUUUCUGCAUGCCGGCUGUGCGUUGCACAAGUCGGAGCACGAGGUCUCCUUUCCGGAAUACUCGUGGGUUUACCCUCCGGCUGUGAUAACGCCUUAGGUGUUGUUGAUAGAUGGCCGACCGAGAUAGAGCCAAUUCCCGUGCUUCUUCGAGCAGGUCGACAGCAUUUUCUCGGGCCUCUUUUACCCCGGCUUCCGUAUACAUGGUCACUCGCGGAGAGUCAAGUUCAAUGUCGGCUGGUAAGACAGCUUCUGGACCAUGUCUGCAGCCUCCUGCAGCGCACUCGGCCAGUAGAACCCGUGCCAGAAUGUCUUGCUCACUAAUGUCCUCGAGGACGCAUGGUGACCGCAUUCUCCCUGAUGAAUAUCUCGAAGUAUCUCUUGCCCUUCUGCCGGCUCGAUGCAUCGCUGCAAGACGUUAAUAACACUUCUCUUGUAUAGCUCACCAUUGAUGAUAGUAUACGCCUUUGCCCUUCUCUGAACUUGCCUUGCCGACAUUUCCUCUUCCGGGAGACUCCCAUCUUUGAGAUAAGACAUUAUCGGUUGUGCCCAAGCCGGCACGGGGCGAGUAGCGAAAACCGGCUCGUCUGGUUCGUCUAUCUCCAUUGGCUCAACCGCCAGCGCUUUCGCCGAGUUAGGGCGCCCAGUCCUCGGGUUACCGGAACCGCUGCCACUGUCAAUAUCCAUUGGGGUAAUGUCAGCUUCUGAGUUUGCCAGGAUAAAGAUUCACUCCGAUUCUGGUGAUGGCUUGAUUGACGGUUUGCGUAAAUGAUCCAAUGCCACUCCAGCCAGGAUAGCUUGUCGCGUUGAACCGAGCUUCGACAGCGUAUCGGCUGCCUCGUUUUCUGCCCGCAGGAUAUGAUGGAAUUUACACCCUUCAAAAUGACCACUGAUCUUCUGAACAUGAAAACGGUAUAGUGCCAUGUUGGCAUCCAAUGCAUCCCAACUGCCGGAAGCUUGCUGGACUACCAAGUCCGAAUCGCCAAAGCAUUGAAUUCGACGAACUCCAAUCUCUUUUGCCAUCUUUAGUCCGUGCACGAGUGCCUCAUACUCGGCGACGUUGUUGGAUGCCGCAAAAUGAAUUUGCAGCACAUAUUUAAGUUGGUCGCACUUAUGCGAAGUUAAGACUAUGCCGGCAGCAAGCACACUUUUCAUUUUGGAGCCAUCAAAAUGCAUCUUCCCGUAGUUAGUUUCAGGCGGUGGUGCCUCAUAUUCUAUCUCGGCCCAGUCUCGUUGUCUCUUUGCUUGCACAUGGACAACUGUUGAGGGCGUUUUGGCGUCUUGUAAGUACUUGUGAAAUUGCUGAGGAAAGCUUCUUCAAAAUCUAUCCAGCAAUUUAUGCUGUCUUCCGGCAGAUUGUUCAGCCAUAUCCUUGCCGGCCCUAUCAGCAUCUGGGGUACAUAACGUACUGCACAUCGGCGAUUGCCACCUGCCACAUGCACCGCCAUGACACAAUCUUCCAGCCAAUCUUCCAGCUUUGUACUGCCGUCAUAGGUUCUCGUACCCCCGGGCAGCUGGAAACCCUGGGCUGGUGUCUCCCUCAUGAUCCGGUGUGCAAAACAAUGCGGUCCCGGUGGGCCUUGUUCUUCCAGGAGCUCUGACAGAUAAAUUAUGUCGAGCCAAUGCCGGGCAUCUAGUGGCGAUACUUGUCGGUUCCCAACUCGGGCUCCGAGCGGGCCGAGAUUAUCAUGCUCUCGCCUGAGAUAACCUUCAUCACCCAUGGCAAAGUACCCGUCAUCAUAAUGAUUUUGCCGGCGAUCUUCACCUCGAUACAGGGGGUUGCGCUCGAUACCCUGCUGACCUGCAGCAGUAUUGGGUGUCGGACCCUGAGGUUGGUGUCCAUGACCAGCCGAGUGACGUUCUUGCUGAUCUCGGCGAUUGUUGCCGAGACGCAGACCACUCUGGCUGUCAUCGACUCUCCUGGCCAUUUGUCUCUCGGCCAGAACCGGAUCAUAAUGCUCAAGGCGCUUAUCUCGGCCUGAGUUGACACUUUUGUCCCGUUUGCCACCAGGCGAGGACGCUUGUUUGUCAGCCCGGCCAUCGGCGCCCGCUGCCGAGUGAACGACUUGAGACGCACCGGGCUUACCGUGCAACCUCAUGUAUGCCUCAUUCUGCUUGUUGGUUGUGUGGAGCAAUUCCUACACGCGCAACUGUUGCAGCCGGAGUGCCUCUCCCGUGAGAUUCGGCAACUCUUCGGCCGCAGCCUCGGCGGCCCUGAGAUUCUUGGCAGGGGUGUUAUAUUUUGGCCUCAGCGCCGAAGCAAAACUUGCCGACACUGCGGGCACCACUCCGCCAUCUCUGGCUAUCUCGGCAUUCAAGUUCCUGCCACGGUUACGCACCUCUCCAACUCGGCUAGGGUUAGUCAAUGCGAUAGAAUUGUGACCAUGGGCUUUGUUAUACUCACGGAGCGAAAUAUCAAGUUCUUGCCGGGCGCGAGCCACAUCGACGGCCUCCUUCAGCAGCUUUUGGUGCUCCAACUCCAACUCCGCCUGCAGCUGGGCCAGGUUAGCGUUUGACGCCACCGGCGCGGUCAGUCGUUCGAUGGAGGCCUGCAGCUGAGUCGUCUUUGGCGGCAGAGCCGACAUGCUGGUUUGAGCAGCGACGUUAUCCGGCUUCUCCAGGGGGAACUUCGCCGUUCUACCGGACUUGCUUGCUGCGGUGCCCUUGCCAGCAUCGACGCCAUGAGCCGUCACCAUAACCUCCACACGGUCAGCGGGGCAGUCGACAUGCUGGCCGCGAACCGUGCAGACGGCGGGGGGAUCUUCGGCAACCACCACCCGCUCUGGGUACCUGCAGGGACUGUCAGUAGCAACGUAAACCUCAUUCACGCCGAAGUUGAUCAAGCGGCCCGCGCAAGGAAGCGGUGCGUUGUUGAAGCAACCCGUGUUGUUGUUGAUGAAGCCCAAAGAGCCGAAUCUCUGGACCAAACCGGAGACCACGCGCUCUCCAGUGACGAGAAAACUUCCCGUCCGGAUGAAAACUCCAGCCAGCGCCGCUGCUGGCCCCACGGUGGGCGCCAACUGUCGUGGUGGUGUCACGGCAAAUGCCAUGGGAUGGCUUAUCUUGGGGCCGAUGGACGAAGUAGGAUUCGGAGGAGGGAGGACGUGAAGGGAAACACACGCGAAUACACAAGUACACACAAAUUUACCCAGGUUCAGAGCCCUCUUGCCGAGGUAAGACUCCUACUCCUGCUUUCUUGUAUUAGCCGAGAUAGCAAACUCUACAAAGGCACUCCUUGAGAUGUAUUCUUGAGGAAAGAAGAAGAAGAAGGGGAAAACCCUAGAUGUCUCAGUGAUCGAUCCCUCUCCUGGGAGGGGUAGUGCUCUAUUUAUGGGUCGCCCAUGUCACACUGACAUGCAGGCCGAAGCCUAACGUUAUCUUCUUUGAGCCCCUCCGGGCACGCGCCUUGGUUCUCUUCGGGUGGCGCCGCGGGGGACAAGACAACUUUACUUUCCCUGGCGCCCUGCAACAGGUACAACAGUCAUCUGCCGGCUUUCGUCAGAGAUUCUCUUUCAGUGCUUCUUUGCGCAGUCGCCUGGCACCGCAAUGUAAGCGGUGACUGCUUUUCCGUGAUGAAGAUAGUGUUGGAAAUAUGCCCUAGAGGCAAUAAUAAAUUUGUUAUUAUCAUAUUUCAUUGUUGUUGAUAAAUGUUUAUUGCCCAUGCUAUAAUUGUAUUGAUUGGAAACUCAAAUACAUGUGUGGAUAAAUAAACAAAUACCGUGUCCCUAAUACGUCUCUACUAGAUUAGCUCGUUGAUUAAAGAUGGUUAAGGUUUUCUAACCAUAGACAUGUGUUGUCAUUUAAUAACGAGAUCAUAUCAUUAGGAGAAUGAUGUGAUGGACAGACCCAAACCUAAACAUAGCUUUUGAUCGUGUCACUUAAGUUUAAGUUGCUUAUGUUUUAUUAUGUCAAGUAUUAUUUCUUUAGACCAUGAGAUCAUGCCACUCCCUAGUACCGGAAGAAUACUUUGUGGGCAUCAACCGUCAUCUCGUAACUGGGUGAUCAUAAAGGUGUUUUUCAGGUAUCCCAGAAGGUGCUUGUUGGGUUGUAUGGAUCAAGACUGGGAUUUGUCACUCCUUGUGACGGAGAGAUAUCUCUGGGCCCUCUCGGUAAUAUAACAUCCUAAUGAGCUUGCAAGCAUGCGACUAAUGUGUUUAGUUGCGGGGGUAUUAUAUUAUGGAACGAGUAAAGAGAACUUGCCGGUAACGAGAUUAAACUAGGUAUGGCGAUACCGACGAUCAAAUCUCGGGCAAGUAAUAUAUCGCGAGACAAAGAGAAUUGGAUACUGGAUUAAUUGAAUCCUCGACAUAGUGGUUCAACCGAUGAGAUCUUCGUGGAAUAUGUGGGAACUAUUAUGGACAUCCAGGUCCCGCUAUUGGUUAUUGAUAUUUGAUCAUGUCCACAUGUUCUCGAACUCGUAGGGUCACACACUUAACGUUUCAUGUUGCUUGGGUUAGAUGAGAUAAAUGAUGAUGAUAUCGAAUUAUGAUUCGGAGUCUUGGAUGGGAUCCUAGACGCAACGAGGAGCUCCGGAAUGUUCCGGAGAUAAAGAUUUAUAUAUGGAAAGUUGUUUUCAGGGUUCUGGAAAGUUUGGAAUAUUUCCCGGUUUUGACCGGGAAGCUUCUAGAAGGUUCCGGAGGCAUCCGGAGGGUUCCACCUUGAGGCCCACCUAUCCCUGGGCUAAAUGGGCCUGUGAGGGAGCACCCUGGCCUUAAUGGGCCGAGGGGCUAGCCCACAGGGCCCAUGCGGCCAGGAAGAGAGUCCUGGCCGCAGGAGAGUCCUGGCCACGGGAUAGUCCUGGCCGGCCACGCCUCCUCUACCCCUAUAUAAAUAGAAGGGGGGGCAAGGGAGAGAGACACCCCAAGCUUUCAGUUGGAUCUCUCUCCCCUGAGCCCUCCUCUCCUCCUCUUCUCACGCGCACGGCGUAGCUCUGCCCGUGAGAAUAUUCACCAUAGUCACCACGCCGUCGUGCUGCCGGGAUCUCGUCUACCUCUCCCUCUCGCUUGCUGGAUCGAGGAAGGAGGAGACAACGUGAAGCUGAACGUGUGGAUACCAAGGAGGUGCUGUCCGUUCGGCACUGAGAUUGAUCUCAUUGAAAGUUCCACUACACCAACAACGAUCUCGUGAUCGUAACGCUUAGCGGUCUACGAGGGUAUGGUGUUCAUGAUCCCUCUCGUUACAUACAUCUAGUAUAUAUAUUCUUGGGUUUUCUUCCGCACUUCUCGUAGGAAAAUUUUUGUUUCCUAUGCAACGAACCUAACAGAUAGCACUGCUUUACUUUGCGCCACGCGGUAAGGAUAAGACCGUUGAGACAUCUUGGCACUGGCCGAGAUCAGAGUAUUCAUCCUUAUCCUACAAUCUUAUAAGACAAGAUAGUCAUGCCGGCAUACACUCGGUAUGCCGGCUUAGUAUUAGUUUGACUUAGCGAUGCCGGCAUACAUGACUAUGCCGACUUUGCCUUCGUCAUCUCGGCUAAAGCGUGUCGUCAUGACCCUACUCGGGGUCAUCCCCCUGACAGUCUGUCUGACCGAAAUGAAUCUGAGUGGAGCCAAACGAAACAAUAUUGUUAAUUUGCCAAAAAAAUUAUACAGAAAAUAGUGGAUCAAUCAUCCACUGCAAAUAUAUUAUAUAUGAAAAUAAAAUAUUUACAAGGCCAAUAAUGAAAAAUUAUUGAGCCAGCAGUGAAAUGUCAUCUAAAUCUAUUGAUCCAAGCUUUGAAGUUAGAGUAAGUCUUUCUUUUGGCUCUAUGAAAGACAACAUUAAGCUCUCCCUUGAAGAUAUGCCAGCACCAAUAAAGGGACGACGUAAGAUUGUUGAAAAUGCAAUCAUUCCUGGUCCUCCAAAUGCUCCAACAAACCAGGGCAACAAUUUCCAUAUGGAACGGGACAUCCAGAUGCCUCUUGAGCUCCAUGAUGUUACGAUGCACAUUGAGUUGUGGAGUGAAUGCAGGGCAUAUGCAUCUCCAGUAUGUAUCUCCAGCACGCGAUGGAGAACUGGCAAUGGAAGAAGAGGUGAUCCUUGGUUUCCAGAUGUACUCCAUGCAGAGAACACAAGUGUAAUCAGGUAGGUGCAGAUUCCUCUGAUGAAGCAUGGCUCUGGUGUUGAGCCUAUCAACGAGCAUAAGCCAUAAGAAGAAUUUAUGCUUAAGUUGACAACAAGAAUUCCAGAUCGACAUAAGAGUAACAGGAAUGUCAAUGUGAUCGAUGGGUCUGUCGUAGGUUUUGGCAUUGGAGAAACCAAUAGCAACACCUCUGAGUGCCCAGCCAUCCUGCUGCUGAGUGACAGGAAUCUGAUCAAUAAGGUCAGUAAGUUGGUUGAACUGAUCAAAAGCGACAACUGACAUAGGAAGUACAAACAGUCCAAUCCUGUCCUGAGAGGUAAGGAAAUCAUGCACAGAAAUGUCCUGAUCAUAUGCAAAUCAGAACAGCUGAGGCCAUCUGUCAGAAAGAGUGUUAUCAGACCAUCUAUCUUUCCAAAGACUAAAAGAUUUUCCAGAGAAGACAGUACAUGUGGCCAAGUUCUUGUAGGAGUCCAAGGUUUUCAGGAUAUCUCUCCACCUGAAAGAGGCAUUUGGGGAUUGGAUCAUAAGAUAGCCAUGGGGAUAAUGCAACUCCCAAACAAGGUGAACCCAAGGCAAGUCAAAAUGAUUGAGGAAUUUGUGGGCAUUCUUCAUGAGGAGAGCUUUAUUUUGUGCCAUCAGGUUCUUGACCCCAAGGCCACCUUCCUUCUUAGGUCUAUUACCAGUUCCCAUGCAGCUAAUGGGGUUUUUUUCUUGGUAAGAUGUUGCCCACGCCAAAGAUAGUGUCUUCUGUAUUUAUCAAUCUGUGAGAUCACUCCAGCAGGAAGAAGGAAAGUGCUCAUAAAGUAGGAAGGUAGGGCAAAUAAUACAGAAUUUACAAGUUGCAGUCUUCCCCCAUAUGAUAACAUAGAUGAAAAGCAAGUGAGCCUCUUCUCAACUCUUUGGAUUAGUGGGACCACAAUUUUAGGCUUGGUAUUACCUAUUGGAAGACCAAGAUAUGUAAAAGGAAGUGCCCCAAUUUGGCAACCAAAUAUAGCAGCAAGUUCCACAGCCUUGUCAGUCUGAAGGUUGAUGGGAAUAUGACUAGAUUUCUGAAAGUUGACUCUUAGGCCAGUAGAAGCAUGGAAUUGAAGCAGUAUAUCUUGCAGCAGAAGCAGUUGUGAGGAGUCAGCCUGCAUGAUGAUGAGGGUGUCAUCAGCAUACGGAAUAACAGGGAAAUCAGGACAUUCAGUAGUGGGAAUAGGCUUGGCAAUCUGACCAUGUAACAUGGCAUUGUUCAGAAUGGUUUGCAGGAGAUCAACAACUAACACAAAAAGCAGUGGUGACGGUGGAUCUCCUUGUCUUACACCUCUUUUACAGUGUAUCACCUUCCCAGGAAUGCCAUUGAGGAGAACUUGUGAAGUAGCUGAGUCCAGAAUACACUUGAUCCAACUACACCAUUUACUUCCAAAACCCUUGGCCUGCAGGAUUUGUAAGAUGGCAACAUGCUCUACUUUGUCAAAGGCCUUUUCAAAGUCCAGCUUAAGGAUGAUAAUUUCCUCACCAGAUUUAUGACAUGCAUGGAUGUACUCAAAUGCCUAGGCAAGGCAAUCUUGAAUAGUUCUGCACUUGAUAAAGCCAUAUUGAUUCUGAUGAAUGAGUUGCAUGAUGGAGUCCUGAAGCCUAUUGGCAGCCUAUUGGUAAGGAGCUUAGUCAGAAGCUUAAGUGUGUAGUUAAGUAGGGAGAUUGGUCUGAACUCAUUCUCACUCGUGGCAUUGUUAUUCUUGGGGAUGAGAGAAAUAAAGCAGGUGUUAAUACUGUCCAAAGUAAGCUCCCCCUUGUUGAACUGAUGACAUAGAUCAUAUAAAUCAUUUUUAAUUAUGGGCCAACAUCUCUUCAUGAAUUCAUUACUGAAUCCAUCAGGACCAGAUGAUUUAUUAUUUGGGAGGUUCUGAAUCACCGGAUCAAUCUCAUCAUGUGAAAAGUGUGCCUCAAGCAGCCUGAGGUCCUGGACAUUCCGGACCAUUUUGAAGUUCUUAAAAUUGAUAGACCUUAAUUUCAUCCACAAGGUCAUAUUUGUUAACAAUCUUGACUAAAAUUGUUGGUAGUCAAUUUGUUUUUUUUAAGUCAGACCUAGCUACUAGAAGCCUAGAACUAAAUGCACCCUAAAUCCCAAACUACACAAAUUAUGUGGGUAAAAGUUCGGUUAAUCAAAAAGUUAUAUCUUUCUGCAGAUUACUCAGUUUUCUUUUUCGAAACUAAGGUUAACUCUGUUUGUGAAAGUACUUCUUUUCACACGUGCGUUUAUCUUUUUUCUAUGGCCACAUGGGCAUGUCCACAGGUGUCAGAGAUCCGUAGAUUAACUUGAGAAAAGCAAAUUACCUGCCAUACUCUUGCUGCAUGGAAAGACACAAAAAAGCUGGAGGAGAAAAGCAAACACAGAUGCCGAAAAAACAAAUUAUUUCAUGGAAAUGAUGCUGCUCAUUCUGCAAAGUCCAUCAUUUCUUUCCUUAGAAUUUCUUGACUUCCUGCAACAAAGAGAGUCCUAGAUGGCUACUAGAUCUAGCACUAGCGCUUCGAUUGCCAGCUACUCGCUCCGUCCAAAUGACAAAAUUUGGAUUGUAUUUAGACAUGACUUAGUUUUUAGAUUAGCACUGAGUACAUUAAUUCCUGCUGGUACCCGAUAAUGAGCGGCAAGAAACCGAUUCAACCAGCUGGAUCUCUGUUCACACGGCACAAAGGAUCGUAUAAACCAGAAGGAUCCAGAAAAGCCAAACUCCAACCGGGGCCCUGAGUCCUGCGAGCUAGCUGCUGCAAAGUGAGCCCCCACGGGGAACUCGGCCCGCUUGCCACUGACCGCGGCAGAUCGAGCUAGUGCUACUACCACGGUACUGUGUCUUGUGACCGUGUGAGUACAGACUGCGGUGUGCGCGUGCUCCUGCGGGCAAAAGCUGGAACAAAAGCGUAAAACAGCCGCGGAGCACCGUCAAUUCAGCCACCCGGUUCACGGUCAGUACUGUUGCCCGCGCCUCUGAUCGACGCUGAGCCGCGGCCCGCGGCGGAGAAACAGGGCUCUCGGGGCCCCGGCGCUUUGACCGGCCGGCGCGGCUGGGAGCAAACGGACGACGCAUGGCAUUUACGCCGACAACGCGGGGGACGUGGGUCGGACCGACGCAAAACAACAAAACAACAAAAGGGCCGGGGAAUAGGCAGAUGCAGGAGCAAUUGAUUAUGGGAGUGCGAUGCGGAGACUGAAGCCAGUUGAUUAGGCGAGGCGAGGAUGGAGACAGGCUAUGCUACACUAUGGUACUACUCUCACGACAGUGAGAUCUGGAAAAAAUUUCCAAGCCUCGCACGACCAUGUGUACCUAGAUUGAUUCCCUAACCGUGUCUUCUAGGGGAAAAACAUUUCUUUUCGUGUAACAUGCAUCGAAAUCUCACAUUAUCGCACUGGAUUCACUUCGGCGGUGGAUGUUAGUGUGCUGACCUCUGUCAAAGUGCGGUAUUAUAUAUGGGAGUCAUCUUUCUCUCAAAAAAGAAAAGGAGGGUCAUAUUUCCGGAGAACAAUGUUGCGUGCCGAUCUGUGCGAUAUACAGUAUAGAUCGAGUCACGUGACUUGUGGCCAUUGGUUGAUGGUUCAGUAGCAUCCUCGUAGCAUCUCUCCACCACCACGGUCCGUUUUGUAACAGAGAAGUUGCAAGUAGGAAUUGCUCUGGUCUCCGGAAGUCUCCUCGCAGCUUCGCAGUUCGUGACUUUGUGUGGCCAUUUGCAGCGUGGAUCCAAGGGUGCGAACAGUCUUACUAGUACAGUGAGAAGACCAGAUCUACCUAAAGCACACAAGGUUACCUUUUCCGGUUGACCCUGACACGAGACGUUGCCGUUCAUGAGGGGUUUGUACAGUUCGGCCUAACCUGAACAGGACACCUACAGCUCACAUGCGUUGGAGCAUAGCCACUAACAAUGCAGAUAUAUAACUUUGACAUGGAUAUCAUCGCAAGUGCAUCAGUAUACGACUUGAGUUGUUAAUGAAACUAACCACGGUUGGAGUCACUUGACGCUAGUAUCCAAGAAAAAAAAACAUAUCAAGAAAUCACAAGAAUUUAUUUUGUUGUAGAAAAUAUUUUUAUUCAUUUUUAACAAAAAUACUUCCCUGCAUUGAAAAGAAUUAAAAAUUCAAAUGGUUUAUGCAAUUAUGUUUACCAUUUGAAAAUAUUCCAUCCCCAUUGUUGUUUUCUGUAUUAAAGCUCAUAUGAUAAAUAAAAAAAAGAAGAGAGCGAACUGAGAAUAUUCCAUCCCCGACAGGGAUAAAAAAAGAGAGAACUGAGAGUAUUCCAUCCCCGAUGUGUGAUAACACACCAUUGCCUGCAUACCUGGUUUGUAAAUAUCCUAUGGUGCUAAGGGUUUGGUCCAAAUAUUUACCCGUGGUUAUAUAAAUGGGAAAAAUUCAAUACCCGUGUUUAGCAUAGCCACGGAAAAAUGGACCGAUGGCAUGAAUUUGACAUGUCGCAUUAGAUCACUAUUUUUUCUCUGCUGACAAAAAUUGACGACUUGUUAAGUUUUAGCAUGUUCCCACAGAGAUGCCAUAAGACGCUAUUAUUUUUUCCAUGGCCAUGGUAGCAGCAACUAAAGUGCUCAUAGCACUAGAUAUCUUUACCGAAGGCCUCCCAGUAUCCCGCAUUCAGCUAAUCCCUCGAAGCCCACCUUGUACAGUUUGGUCCAAGCACACCCCUACGGCUCUACCCGCAAAAACCAAGAAGGCGAUAAGUCCUCAAGGUCCAACAAGCCCACCAGAAUGGCAGUGCAACUACUUCAUGCAAAGAGGAGAGGACAGUGGACACAUCAAAUCGAACGAUCAGUCAAAUAUUCGCACAAAAUAAGUCAAGAUGUAUUCCACGAUAUUUGGGUGCAGAUUUACUGUAACUGAAAGAGAAAGUGUAGCUUCUAAAUUUCUAAUGCAAUGUUCGAAGGUCUGGCUUGAGCUGAUGGAUAAUCAUGCUAUAGAAACUAAGCAUGUUAGUGAAAUACGGAGUACAAGUCAUGCUGUAAGGUCCACUAAGUCCCUUUUUUUUAGAAAAGGUCCAACUAGUCAUGCUGUACAGUUUCCAACAACAUGGAAACUGGGGCCCCGCGUAACACGGCCCAGUCGGUGCUCUCAGUCUCCAGAUGGUCUUGUCGAAAGUCCAAGCAGAUAAUGGGUUUGACAGCAUAGAACAAACAAGCCAGAUUUCUGAUUCAAAUGCUCACUAUAGAAGGUGCCAAUAGAGGAACACUGGAGUACCAAAGCGUAGAGCAAUGGGCACUACAAACAUGAAAGGCAUGGCCUUUCUCCUCGCUCUCGCAGCAACGCUACUGUCCUGCUGCACGGCCUCCUCCUCCCCUUACCACCUCCCCCCACGA